This 251-nucleotide ribosomal RNA is filed under the name uncultured bacterium. Its description in RNAcentral is "partial 16S ribosomal RNA". It matches the Rfam family "Bacterial small subunit ribosomal RNA", at positions 524 to 776 of the family's 1533-position model. The record is from RNAcentral.
UACGUAGGGUGCAAGCGUUAAUCGGAAUACUGGGCGUAAAGCGUGCGCAGGCGGUGAUGUAAGACAGGUGUGAAAUCCCCGGGCUUAACCUGGGAACUGCAUUUGUGACUGCAUCGCUGGAGUGCGGCAGAGGGGGAUGGAAUUCCGCGUGUAGCAGUGAAAUGCGUAGAUAUGCGGAGGAACACCGAUGGCGAAGGCAAUCCCCUGGGCCUGCACUGACGCUCAUGCACGAAAGCGUGGGAGCAAAUAGG